AACUUUCAACAACGGAUCUCUUGGUUCUGACAUCGAUGAAGAACGCAGCA
Molecule: ribosomal RNA, 50 nt
Filed under: uncultured Ascomycota
Lineage: Eukaryota; Fungi; Ascomycota
Description: partial 5.8S ribosomal RNA
Rfam family: 5.8S ribosomal RNA
About the family: 5.8S ribosomal RNA (5.8S rRNA) is a component of the large subunit of the eukaryotic ribosome. It is transcribed by RNA polymerase I as part of the 45S precursor that also contains 18S and 28S rRNA.
Source: RNAcentral